RNAcentral lists this ribosomal RNA (515 nucleotides) under uncultured bacterium. Its description in RNAcentral is "partial 16S ribosomal RNA". It matches the Rfam family "Bacterial small subunit ribosomal RNA", at positions 28 to 523 of the family's 1533-position model. The record is from RNAcentral.
GAUGAACGCUGGCGGCGUGCCUAAUACAUGCAAGUCGAGCGAAUGGAUUAAGAGCUUGCUCUUAUGAAGUUAGCGGCGGACGGGUGAGUAACACGUGGGUAACCUGCCCAUAAGACUGGGAUAACUCCGGGAAACCGGGGCUAAUACCGGAUAACAUUUUGAACCGCAUGGUUCGAAAUUGAAAGGCGGCUUCGGCUGUCACUUAUGGAUGGACCCGCGUCGCAUUAGCUAGUUGGUGAGGUAACGGCUCACCAAGGCAACGAUGCGUAGCCGGCCGGAAGGGGUGAUCGGCCACACUGGGACUGAGACACGGCCGAGACUCCGACGGGAGGCAGCAGUAGGGAAUCUUCCGCAAUGGACGGAAGUCUGACGGAGCAACGCCGCGUGAGUGAUGAAGGCUUUCGGGUCGUAAAACUCUGUUGUUAGGGAAGAACAAGUGCUAGUUGAAUAAGCUGGCACCUUGACGGUACCUAACCAGAAAGCCACGGCUAACUACGUGCCAGCCGCCGCCGUAA